RNAcentral lists this ribosomal RNA (522 nucleotides) under uncultured Glomeromycotina. RNAcentral describes it as "SSU rRNA". It matches the Rfam family "Eukaryotic small subunit ribosomal RNA", at positions 569 to 1092 of the family's 1831-position model. The record is from RNAcentral. Lineage: Eukaryota; Fungi; Glomeromycota.
AGCAGCCGCGGUAAUUCCAGCUCCAAUAGCGUAUAUUAAAGUUGUUGCAGUUAAAAAGCUCGUAGUCGAAUUUCGGGGUUAGUAGGUUGGUCAUGCCUCUGGUAUGUACUGGUCUCACUGAUUCCUCCUUCCUGAUGAACCUUAAUGCCAUUAAUUUGGUGUUUUGGGGAAUUUGGACUGUUACUUUGAAAAAAUUAGAGUGUUUAAAGCAAGCUAACGCUUGAAUACAUUAGCAUGGAAUAAUGAAAUAGGACGUUCGAUCCUAUUUUGUUGGUUUCUAGGAUUGACGUAAUGAUUAAUAGGGAUAGUUGGGGGCAUUAGUAUUCAAUUGUCAGAGGUGAAAUUCUUGGAUUUAUUGAAGACUAACUACUGCGAAAGCAUUUGCCAAGGAUGUUUUCAUUAAUCAAGAACGAAAGUUAGGGGAUCGAAGACGAUCAGAUACCGUCGUAGUCUUAACCAUAAACUAUGCCGACUAGGGAUCGGAUGAUGUUAAUUUUUUAAUGACUCAUUCGGCGCCUUACG